RNAcentral lists this ribosomal RNA (551 nucleotides) under uncultured bacterium. RNAcentral describes it as "bacterial SSU rRNA". It matches the Rfam family "Bacterial small subunit ribosomal RNA", at positions 797 to 1353 of the family's 1533-position model. The record is from RNAcentral.
ACGCCCUAAACGAUGUCAACUAGCUGUUGGGCCCUUCGGGGCUUAGUAGCGUAGCUAACGCGUGAAGUUGACCGCCUGGGGAGUACGGUCGCAAGAUUAAAACUCAAAGGAAUUGACGGGGACCCGCACAAGCGGUGGAUGAUGUGGAUUAAUUCGAUGCAACGCGAAAAACCUUACCUACCCUUGACAUGUCUGGAAUCCUUUAGAGAUAGAGGAGUGCUCGCAAGAGAACCGGAACACAGGUGCUGCAUGGCUGUCGUCAGCUCGUGUCGUGAGAUGUUGGGUUAAGUCCCGCAACGAGCGCAACCCUUGUCAUUAGUUGCUACGAAAGGGCACUCUAAUGAGACUGCCGGUGACAAACCGGAGGAAGGUGGGGAUGACGUCAAGUCCUCAUGGCCCUUAUGGGUAGGGCUUCACACGUCAUACAAUGGUCGGGACAGAGGGUUGCCAACCCGCGAGGGGGAGCCAAUCUCAGAAACCCGAUCGUAGUCCGGAUUGCAGGCUGCAACUCGCCUGCAUGAAGUCGGAAUCGCUAGUAAUCGCGGAUCAGC